AUUGAACGCUGGCGGCAGGCCUAACACAUGCAAGUCGAGCGGAGCGGCGGACGGGUGAGUAAUUCCUAGGAAUCUGCCUGGUAGUGGGGGAUAACGUCCGUAAACGGGCGCUAAUACCGCAUACUAUCAGAUGAGCCUAGGUCGGAUUAGCUAGUUGGUUGGGUAAAGGCCUACAAAGGCGACGAUCCGUAACUGGUCUGAGAGGAUGAGCAGUCACACUGGAAAUGAGACACGGUCAAGAAGCCGACGGGAGGAAGCAGUGGGGAAUAGUGGACAAUGGGCGAAAGCAUGAUGCAGCGAUGCCGCGUGAGUGAAGAAGGUCUUCGGAUUGUAAAGCUCGUUAAGUUGGGAGGCGUUACCAACAGAAAAAGCACCGGCUAACUUCGUGCCAGCAGCCGCGGUAAUUC
RNAcentral lists this ribosomal RNA (407 nucleotides) under uncultured bacterium. RNAcentral's name for it is "partial 16S ribosomal RNA". It matches the Rfam family "Bacterial small subunit ribosomal RNA", at positions 30 to 526 of the family's 1533-position model. The record is from RNAcentral.